ACUACAUACUAAAAGUUUUUUCAAAACAUGUUUGAUAUGCUCAAAACCCUUCUGAAGAAGAACGGGAUAGAUCCCAUCUUCCCCUGGAGAUUUGUAAGGAGCAAAACUUCGUCGAUUCAAACAUAUUUCAAACGUCGAUUUGUCAAUUCUGGUAGCACCCCCACGCAAGUCAACAGCAUCAACAUGUAGGUGAAUUGUUAAAAUAGACACUUGGCAUGCAAAAGAAGGAUCGAGAUUCUGACCCCUGCAGGCUUGGAGAUACUCAGCCUCAGCCAUUUCGUUUGCGAAGCGGUCGGUGAAUAGAACGAAUCGAUAGUAGUGUCACAGUUUUUAAGAAUGUGAUGAGAAAUGAUGACAAAGUUUUGUAUUUUUUCAAUAGUUUUUGUUUUUCUCGUACACCAAGGUGCAGGGCUUGCAGAAUUCGCUCUCAAUAGAUAACAAACAACGAUAAAAGAGAGGCAAAAACUGUUCCGAAUCAUAACAAGCCAUGAUAACAAAUUUAUCAAACUUGUGUACAAGUGCGAAAAAACAAAAUCGGAUAGGCAGCCCCCACAGAAAAAUGGUGAUUUUCGCUUUGUUUUCGCUCAUUUCGUGUUGGAUACUGCACAGCUGUGUAAAACAAGUUGAAAUGCAUCAUCAGAGCCAGUGCUCCCCGCAUUUGGAGCUUUCUAAAAGAAAUUUAUCAUGGGGUAGAGCCUCCCGAAUCAGUUCUCUAUCAUGACAGCUUGCGAAAAAAGUCUAUGGCGGUAUGCUACAUAUCGUAUAUGUACAUAUACAGAGAUGAUGGGGAUGGGGCCCACCUUAGUCGUGCGAUAAGACGCACGGCUACAAAGCAAGACCAUGCUGAGGGUGGCUGGGUUCGAUUCCCGGUGCCGGUCUAGUCAAUUUUCGGAUUGGAAAUUAUCUCGACUUCCCUGGGCAUAAAAGUAUCAUCGUGUUAGCCUCAUGAUACACGAAUGCAAAAAUGGUAACCUGGCUUAGAAACGUCGCAGUUAAUAACUGUGGAAGUGCUUAAUGAACACUACACGCUUACUUCAAUUAACCUAUUUAUGAGUACUUGAUUCACCCAUAUUUGGGUAUUGCACAUUUCACUCAUAUUAUGAGUAAAAUAUACUGAUAAAAUCGGUAAAUUUCACCCAUAUUGCUGAUAAAGCGACUUUACCAAUUUAUGAGUGAAUGAAUUUACUCAUAUUUGGGUGAAAAAAUAUGACUUUGUUGUUUUUGUUGUCAAACUGCCAUCACCCGAGUUUUCGAGAUCCAGAAACUGUUCCGUUCCGGCGGUUUGUGAACCUAUCCAGCUGCAGUGGAGAGUUUACACCUGUUGUGAAAGCUACACAUCCUGUUAACAGAACCAUAAUCCGCCGAAACCAGACGACAUUCAACUCACGAGUAUUCAAACAGAUAUGGUUCCCUGAUUAGCAUGCCAGCCAAGAUGCCAGCGGCCCACCCAUCAGCAAUCGCACCAUGUCAAAACGGACGGAAACGGCCAUAGAAGCAGAUUCCACCCACAUCUCGAGCUAGUGCUUGCGAUCUUCGCGGAUCGUGCCAUUUUAUCUAUGUACUUCGACACCAUCCAACGAGUCUGGCGAUGACUAAAACUGCAGACACCGCAUACGACGAUGACAACGGAGGUGGAAAUUGUGCAGCUAGAAAUGAUGGUCGCAAUUGUAUUGCUAAUGGACCUGGUGGUGGAACCGCUGAUACCGGAUCGAGUGGAAGCGGUCGAAUGGAAGGACAUCAUUUAGGAGAGUAAAUCGUUGAAUAUGGGAUUCAAUAUGCCAGCUUCCCCAAGUGCCAACACCGCGGCUCCGGUAGCUUGAUCUUCGGAGGAGGGCUGCUAAGCACUGGACGAAACAUCGUAGGAUGUGUACUGCUGACCAGAUAUGGAUGCACCGAAAAGUAAGAAGAGUGAAAAAUAUUCGCGAUAGCGCAUUCGAGGCCCACCGAGAUCUUAAAGAUAUGGAUUCCUGAUUCGCACGAGGAAACAGUUUCCAAUUUGAUAAAUGCAAUGAUCAUUAUCAUCUAUCUCAUCACAAGCGUCGUCGAGACGAGAAUGGGCUUCCUUAAACUUCUAUAUCCGCCAAUACAGCAACCGGUAAUCUGACAUACUGCUACUCUUUAAGGCAUGAAUCCUGCUUUUACCAGUCCAACAGUAAUCAGUCGCUCCGGUAUGGUUUCAGUAAGUUUUU
Molecule: long non-coding RNA, 2189 nt
Organism: Armigeres subalbatus
Lineage: Eukaryota; Metazoa; Arthropoda; Insecta; Diptera; Culicidae
Exons: 4
Source: RefSeq, a predicted model, not a curated record